Molecule: ribosomal RNA, 446 nt
Filed under: uncultured bacterium
Lineage: Bacteria
Description: partial 16S ribosomal RNA
Rfam family: Bacterial small subunit ribosomal RNA
Source: RNAcentral
CCUACGGGUGACAGCAGUCGAGAAUCAUUCACAAUGGGGGAAACCCUGAUGGUGCGACGCCGCGUGGGGGAAUGAAGGUCUUCGGAUUGUAAACCCCUGUCAUGUGGGAGCAAAUUAAAAAGAUAGUACCACAAGAGGAAGAGACGGCUAACUCUGUGCCAGCAGCCGCGGUAAUACAGAGGUCUCAAGCGUUGUUCGGAAUCACUGGGCGUAAGGCGUGCGUAGGCUGUUUCGUAAGUCGUGUGUGAAAGGCGCGGGCUCAACCCGCGGACGGCACAUGAUACUGCGAGACUAGAGUAAUGGAGGGGGAACCGGAAUUCUCGGUGUAGCAGUGAAAUGCGUAGAUAUCGAGAGGAACACUCGUGGCGAAGGCGGGUUCCUGGACAUUAACUGACGCUGAGGCACGAAGGCCAGGGGAGCGAAAGGGAUUAGAUACUCGAGUAGUC